This is a long non-coding RNA of Sardina pilchardus (European sardine), 529 nucleotides long. RefSeq lists it as uncharacterized. The transcript is spliced from 5 exons. The record is from RefSeq and is a predicted model, not a curated record. NCBI's taxonomy places the organism in Eukaryota, Metazoa, Chordata, Actinopteri, Clupeiformes, Clupeidae.
AGUCCUGCUGUAACACACUGGAGUACCUGAGCUACUUAAAGUGAACACUCGUACAGAGACGCUACUUGGAGUCCUGCUGUAACACACUGGAGUACCUGAACUUCUUAAAGUGAACACUCGUACAGAGACUCUACCGAGUACUACGCAGAGGCUUGGAGACGCUACUGAGUACUACGCAGAGGCUUGGAGGUACAGCUACAAGAGUACUGAAUUGAUGAGUACUGAAUCUACACAAGCAUAGUCCUGCUGUAAAACACUGGAGUACCCGAGCUACUUAAAGUGAACACUCGUACAGAGACACUACUGAGUACUACGCAGAGGCUUGGAGGUAUUUGCUCCUGAUAUCCUGACCAGUACACAUACAGAAAGAAGUGUUCCACUACCAAUUUCCAUUCAUCUGUGGGUCUCCUGACAUGUUGGGAGAGCGAGGAUUUCAAUGUCGGACUGCUCUUGAGUUAACAAUCAUCAUGCAGUCCUUGGAGAACGUCGGGGGUUGUUUGUGUGUGUGUGUGUGUGUGUGUGUGUGUGU